UACGGGGGGGGCAAGCGUUGUUCGGAAUUACUGGGCGUAAAGGGCUCGUAGGCGGCCAACUAAGUCCGACGUGAAAUCCCCAGGCUUAACCUGGGAACUGCGUCGGAUACUGGAUGGCUUGAAUCCGGGAGAGGGAUGCGGAAUUCCAGGUGUAGCGGUGAAAUGCGUAGAUAUCUGCAGGAACACCCGUGGCGAAAGCGGCGCGCUGGACCACUACUGACGCUGAGGAACGAAAGCUAGGGGAGCAAACAGG
Molecule: ribosomal RNA, 253 nt
Filed under: uncultured bacterium
Lineage: Bacteria
Description: partial 16S ribosomal RNA
Rfam family: Bacterial small subunit ribosomal RNA
Source: RNAcentral